Molecule: ribosomal RNA, 485 nt
Filed under: uncultured bacterium
Lineage: Bacteria
Description: partial 16S ribosomal RNA
Rfam family: Bacterial small subunit ribosomal RNA
Source: RNAcentral
UUGAACGCUGGCGGCAUGCCUUACACCUGCAAGUCGAACGGCAGCACGGGUGCUUGCACCUGGUGGCGAGUGGCGAACGGGUGAGUAAUACAUCGGAACAUGUCCUGUAGUGGGGGAUAGCCCGGCGAAAGCCGGAUUAAUACCGCAUACGAUCUACGGAUGAAAGCGGGGGACCUUCGGGCCUCGCGCUAUAGGGUUGGCCGAUGGCUGAUUAGCUAGUUGGUGGGGUAAAGGCCUACCAAGGCGACGAUCAGUAGCUGGUCUGAGAGGACGACCAGCCACCCUGGGACUGAGACACGGCCCAGACUCCUACGGGAGGCAGCAGUGGGGAAUUUUUGGCAAUGGGCGAAAGCCUGAUCCAGCAAUGCCGCGUGUGUGAAGAAGGCCUUCGGGUUGUAAAGCACUUUUGUCCGGAAAGAAAUCCUUGGCCCUAAUACGGUCGGGGGAUGACGGUACCGGAAGAAUAAGCACCGGCUAACUACGUG